RNAcentral lists this ribosomal RNA (261 nucleotides) under uncultured prokaryote. RNAcentral's name for it is "partial 16S ribosomal RNA". It matches the Rfam family "Bacterial small subunit ribosomal RNA", at positions 524 to 784 of the family's 1533-position model. The record is from RNAcentral.
UACGUAGGUGGCGAGCGUUAUCCGGAAUUAUUGGGCGUAAAGAGCGCGCAGGUGGUUGAUUAAGUCUGAUGUGAAAGCCCACGGCUUAACCGUGGAGGGUCAUUGGAAACUGGUCGACUUGAAUGCAGAAGAGGGAAGUGGAAUUCCAUGUGUAGCGGUGAAAUGCGUAGAGAUAUGGAGGAACACCAGUGGCGAAGGCGGCUUCCUGGUCUGUAACUGACACUGAGGCGCGAAAGCGUGGGGAGCAAACAGGAUUAGAUA